GAUGAACGCUGGCGGCGUGCCUAAUACAUGCAAGUCGAGCGAACAGACGAGGAGCUUGCUCCUCUGACGUUAGCGGCGGACGGGUGAGUAACACGUGGAUAACCUACCUAUAAGACUGGGAUAACUUCGGGAAACCGGAGCUAAUACCGGAUAAUAUAUUGAACCGCAUGGUUCAAUAGUGAAAGACGGUUUUGCUGUCACUUAUAGAUGGAUCCGCGCCGCAUUAGCUAGUUGGUAAGGUAACGGCUUACCAAGGCAACGAUGCGUAGCCGACCUGAGAGGGUGAUCGGCCACACUGGAACUGAGACACGGUCCAGACUCCUACGGGAGGCAGCAGUAGGGAAUCUUCCGCAAUGGGCGAAAGCUUGACGGAGCAACGCCGCGUGAGUGAUGAAGGUCUUCGGAUCGUAAAACUCUGUUAUUAGGGAAGAACAAAUGUGUAAGUAACUAUGCACGUCUUGACGGUACCUAAUCCGAAAGCCACGGCUAACUACGUG
RNAcentral lists this ribosomal RNA (497 nucleotides) under uncultured bacterium. Its description in RNAcentral is "partial 16S ribosomal RNA". It matches the Rfam family "Bacterial small subunit ribosomal RNA", at positions 28 to 507 of the family's 1533-position model. The record is from RNAcentral.